RNAcentral lists this ribosomal RNA (431 nucleotides) under uncultured bacterium. RNAcentral describes it as "bacterial SSU rRNA". It matches the Rfam family "Bacterial small subunit ribosomal RNA", at positions 355 to 796 of the family's 1533-position model. The record is from RNAcentral.
UCGAGGAUCUUUGGCAAUGAGCGCAAGCUUGACCAAGCGACGCCGCGUGUGCGAUGAAGGCCUUCGGGUUGUAAAGCACUGUCGAGGGGGACGAAGCCGAAAGGUUGACCGAUCCCUGGAGGAAGCACGGGCUAAGUUCGUGCCAGCAGCCGCGGUAAGACGAACCGUGCGAACGUUGUUCGGAAUCACUGGGCUUAAAGGGCGCGUAGGCGGCUUGUCAAGUCAGGGGUGAAAUCUUUCGGCUUAACCGGAAAAGUGCCCUUGAUACUGACAGGCUCGAGGGAGGUAGGGGCAUGUGGAACUUCUGGUGGAGCGGUGAAAUGCGUUGAUAUCAGAAGGAACGCCGGUGGCGAAAGCGACGUGCUGGACCUCUUCUGACGCUGAGGCGCGAAAGCUAGGGGAGCAAACGGGAUUAGAUACCCCCGUAGUCC